Molecule: small RNA, 1940 nt
Filed under: Pan troglodytes (chimpanzee)
Lineage: Eukaryota; Metazoa; Chordata; Mammalia; Primates; Hominidae
Description: retained intron
Source: RNAcentral
AACACUCCAGGAGAAAUUUGCACUGAUGGCUCAGAAGGCUUACGUCAUGGAGAGUAUGACCUACCUCACAGCAGGGAUGCUGGACCAACCUGGCUUUCCCGACUGCUCCAUCGAGGCAGCCAUGGUGAAGGUGUUCAGCUCCGAGGCCGCCUGGCAGUGUGUGAGUGAGGCGCUGCAGAUCCUCGGGGGCUUGGGCUACACAAGGGACUAUCCGUACGAGCGCAUACUGCGUGACACCCGCAUCCUCCUCAUCUUCGAGGGAACCAAUGAGAUUCUCCGGAUGUACAUCGCCCUGACGGGUCUGCAGCAUGCCGGCCGCAUCCUGACUACCAGGAUCCAUGAGCUUAAACAGGCCAAAGUGAGCACAGUCAUGGAUACCGUUGGCCGGAGGCUUCGGGACUCCCUGGGCCGAACUGUGGACCUGGGGCUGACAGGCAACCAUGGAGUUGUGCACCCCAGUCUUGCGGACAGUGCCAACAAGUUUGAGGAGAACACCUACUGCUUCGGCCGGACCGUGGAGACACUGCUGCUCCGCUUUGGCAAGGUAACCAGGCCCUCCCAGGCCUGGGUCGCAAGUGGUCCUCCAAUUUGGCCAGCAUUCAUGAGACUACUUUUUGUCAAGCAUCCUUUGGGACCAGGCCUAGAACAGAAAUCUUGAUCACCCUGGAGGGAUGGGGUGGUGAGGUCAGGCUGACUUUGUCAGCCUGGGGCCCACUUAGCUACUCGGACGGGUACCCUUGCUGGGUGAGUUUUCUGCAGUGUUUUUCUGUGCACCUUUCAGGUAGAGAGGCUCCCUAGAAUCGGGAGGGCAGCUCCACCUGGGGCCUGAAUCUAGGGACCUGAUUGGUGGGGCCCUUGCUGCUGAAGGUGACAGUAGCACAGUAAGCACUGGCUUCUGGUCUCAGCCAAGCUUCUGGGACCUGGUCUUGCCUUAACCCCUCCCUGAAUCUAGAGCUCAAAGAGAAGGGAAAACAGAAGGUGGCUGGGAGCCGUUCUCCCACAACCUGAAGAGAAAGGUGUUAUUGACUCCACUUUCUCAAGGAACACAGGAGACUAAGACAGGCAAAGAUGCAGCCCAGGGAGGGACCGUGUGGGGGACUGGUCUAGGUAGUGAGUCCCCACUUGGAGCCUCUGUGAUCCCAGACCAUCAUGGAGGAGCAGCUGGUACUGAAGCGGGUGGCCAACAUCCUCAUCAACCUGUAUGGCAUGACGGCCGUGCUGUCGCGGGCCAGCCGCUCCAUCCGCAUUGGGCUCCGCAACCACGACCACGAGGUUCUCUUGGCCAACACCUUCUGCGUGGAAGCUUACUUGCAGAAUCUCUUCAGCCUCUCUCAGCUGGACAAGUAUGCUCCAGAAAACCUAGAUGAGCAGAUUAAGAAAGUGUCCCAGCAGAUCCUUGAGAAGCGAGCCUAUAUCUGUGCCCACCCUCUGGACAGGACAUGCUGAGGCAGGGGACAGUGUCCCCUGCUGCCGCCCGCCCCUACCCAUGGCCCGUUGCUGGAUGACUGUUACUCUUUUUUCAGAAGGUGUUGGGAUUAUCACAGGUUAAGCCUUUUGUUCCCCCAUCUGCACCUGAAGGGUUGUCGCCUGGCCUGGGAGAGCCUCUUCCAGGUUUUGACCUGCAGGCAGUGCUCUCUAAUAGGACCAUCACAGCUUCUGAACUGAGCUGGAGAGAGAGAAUGGAAUUGCUGACCCCUGGAACUGGCGGGUAUUCUGGUCAUUGAGGAGACACCAUAGUGGAAACUGGGGCUUAUGCUGCUGCCUCCAGGGCGUGAGGUGGGUGGGGACCUGUGUCAGGUGUGGAUAGCCAUUUCUGCUCAACCACACAUUCUCUAAGAAACAGCUUGAAAGCUCUGUCUGGGUCAUUCAUUUAAACUAGAAGCAGAGGCACUUAAAACAUGUACUAGGAACCAUUUAACAAAGAAUAUAAAAUGUCACAA